Molecule: non-coding RNA, 130 nt
Filed under: Leptotrombidium deliense
Lineage: Eukaryota; Metazoa; Arthropoda; Arachnida; Trombidiformes; Trombiculidae
Source: RNAcentral
GCUGGGCGUGGUGGCACACCCCUGUAGUCCCAGCAGUUUAGGAGGCUGAGACAGGAGGAUUUCGAGUUCAAAGCCAGCCUCAGCAAAAAUGUGAGGUGCUAAUAAACAGCUCAGUGAGACCCCGUCUCUA